UGUAAUGUUGAAGUUGUUAUCGAUAGGGCA
Molecule: non-coding RNA, 30 nt
Filed under: Homo sapiens (human)
Lineage: Eukaryota; Metazoa; Chordata; Mammalia; Primates; Hominidae
Source: RNAcentral